CCUACGGGAGGCAGCAGUGGGGAAUAUUGGACAAUGGGGGGAACCCUGAUCCAGCCAUGCCGCGUGUGUGAAGAAGGCCCUCGGGUUGUAAAGCACUUUCAGUGAGGAAGAACGCCUGGUGGUUAAUACCCAUCAGGAAAGACAUCACUCACAGAAGAAGCACCGGCUAACUCCGUGCCAGCAGCCGCGGUAAUACGGAGGGUGCGAGCGUUAAUCGGAAUUACUGGGCGUAAAGCGCGCGUAGGUGGCUUGAUAAGCCGGUUGUGAAAGCCCCGGGCUCAACCUGGGAACGGCAUCCGGAACUGUCAAGCUAGAGUGCAGGAGAGGAAGGUAGAAUUCCCGGUGUAGCGGUGAAAUGCGUAGAGAUCGGGAGGAAUACCAGUGGCGAAGGCGGCCUUCUGGACUGACACUGACACUGAGGUGAGAAAGCGUGGGUAGCAAACAGGAUUAGAUACCCGAGUAGUC
This 465-nucleotide ribosomal RNA is filed under the name Vreelandella stevensii. RNAcentral describes it as "partial 16S ribosomal RNA". It matches the Rfam family "Bacterial small subunit ribosomal RNA", at positions 338 to 795 of the family's 1533-position model. Lineage: Bacteria; Pseudomonadati; Pseudomonadota; Gammaproteobacteria; Oceanospirillales; Halomonadaceae. The record is from RNAcentral.